Molecule: ribosomal RNA, 391 nt
Filed under: Rhizosolenia sp.
Lineage: Eukaryota; Bacillariophyta; Coscinodiscophyceae; Rhizosoleniales; Rhizosoleniaceae
Description: partial small subunit ribosomal RNA
Rfam family: Eukaryotic small subunit ribosomal RNA
Source: RNAcentral
AUUCCAGCUCCAAUAGUGUAUAUUAAAGUUGUUGCAGUUAAAAAGCUCGUAGUUGGAUUUCUGGCGGGAGCGAUCGGUCCUUCACUCAGUGUUGGAACCUGAUUGUCUCCUGCCAUCCAUGGAGAAAACUUAUCUGGCAUUAAGUUGUCGGGUAGGCAAUCUCCAUCUUUUACUGUGAAAAAAUUAGAGUGUUCAAAGCAGGCUUAUGCCGUUGAAUAUAUUAGCAUGGAAUAAUAAGAUAGGACUUUGAGUCUAUUUUGUUGGUUUGCGAGUCAAAGUAAUGAUUAAUAGGGACAGUUGGGGGUAUUCGUAUUUCAUUGUCAGAGGUGAAAUUCUUGGAUUUCUGAAAGACGAACUACUGCGAAAGCAUUUACCAAGGACGUUUUCAUUG